Molecule: ribosomal RNA, 497 nt
Filed under: uncultured bacterium
Lineage: Bacteria
Description: partial 16S ribosomal RNA
Rfam family: Bacterial small subunit ribosomal RNA
Source: RNAcentral
GAUGAACGCUGGCGGCGUGCCUAAUACAUGCAAGUCGAGCGAACGGACGAGAAGCUUGCUUCUCUGAUGUUAGCGGCGGACGGGUGAGUAACACGUGGAUAACCUACCUAUAAGACUGGGAUAACUUCGGGAAAUCGGAGCUAAUACCGGAUAAUAUUUUGAACCGCAUGGUUCAAAAGUGAAAGACGGUCUUGCUGUCACUUAUAGAUGGAUCCGCGCUGCAUUAGCUAGUUGGUAAGGUAACGGCUUACCAAGGCAACGAUGCAUAGCCGACCUGAGAGGGUGAUCGGCCACACUGGAACUGAGACACGGUCCUGACUCCUACGGGAGGCAGCAGUAGGGAAUCUUCCGCAAUGGGCGAAAGCCUGACGGAGCAACGCCGCGUGAGUGAUGAAGGUCUUCGGAUCGUAAAACUCUGUUAUUAGGGAAGAACAUAUGUGUAAGUAACUGUGCACAUCUUGACGGUACCUAAUCAGAAAGCCACGGCUAACUACGUG